This 253-nucleotide ribosomal RNA is filed under the name uncultured bacterium. RNAcentral describes it as "partial 16S ribosomal RNA". It matches the Rfam family "Bacterial small subunit ribosomal RNA", at positions 524 to 776 of the family's 1533-position model. The record is from RNAcentral.
AACGUAGGAGACAAACGUUAUCCGGAGUUACUGGGCGUAAAGGGCGUGUAGGUGGUUUCGUAAGUCUGGCGUGAAAUUUUUCGGCUUAACCGGGAAAGGUCGUCGGAUACUGCAGAACUAGAGGACGGUAGAGGCGUGUGGAAUACUUGGUGUAGAGGUGAAAUUCGUAGAUAUCAAGUGGAACACCGGUGGCGAAGGCGGCCUUCUGGACGAUGACUGACGCUGAGACGCGAAAGCGUGGGGAGCAAACAGG